RNAcentral lists this ribosomal RNA (253 nucleotides) under uncultured bacterium. Its description in RNAcentral is "partial 16S ribosomal RNA". It matches the Rfam family "Bacterial small subunit ribosomal RNA", at positions 524 to 776 of the family's 1533-position model. The record is from RNAcentral.
UACGUAGGGUGCGAGCGUUGUCCGGAAUUAUUGGGCGUAAAGGGCUCGUAGGCGGUCUGUUGCGUCGGGAGUGAAAACUCAGGGCUUAACCCUGAGCCUGCUUCCGAUACGGGCAGACUAGAGGUAUGCAGGGGAGAACGGAAUUCCUGGUGUAGCGGUGAAAUGCGCAGAUAUCAGGAGGAACACCGGUGGCGAAGGCGGUUCGCUGGGCAGUACCUGACGCUGAGGAGCGAAAGUGUGGGGAGCGAACAGG